UGCAGUUUAAUUUUUUUUUUUUACUAUAUUUCUAGGACUGACUGAACUUCAAGGCAUUUGAGGUACCCCUAGAAAUUGUCCAAUUGAAGGGAAAUUUUGCACAGGCUGUUCUUUUGUCCAUUGGAACAAAAUAAGAGGUUUAUAGUUCUGCAAGAGAUUUUGAAUCUUUUGGCCAAGCUUAAAAAGACAGUAAAAAGCUGAAAAGAGAAGCGAAGUUGCUACAGGAAAAGUUGGAGAUGAAUGUGAUGUCCAAGAAAGCUCCCAAGUUGCAAGCUGCAAUUGGCGAUAUUAAUGCUGCAGAACAUGAAUUUGUUUUGUGUCUGUCAAGCAUUAAUGGUUUGAUGCAGUUAAAAGUGAUGCAUUCCUAGUGUAAAAAUUAAGUACUUACAAGCAGAGACUAAUGCCAUUAGCCAUUAAGUCAGUAAAGUGCUAGCUGGUGCUGCUGAUUGGAACUUGCAUCUUUCUAGAAAAAUCGAAAAAGGAUACUAGACUUGCAA
Molecule: long non-coding RNA, 497 nt
Organism: Uloborus diversus
Lineage: Eukaryota; Metazoa; Arthropoda; Arachnida; Araneae; Uloboridae
Exons: 3
Source: RefSeq, a predicted model, not a curated record